RNAcentral lists this ribosomal RNA (254 nucleotides) under uncultured bacterium. RNAcentral's name for it is "partial 16S ribosomal RNA". It matches the Rfam family "Bacterial small subunit ribosomal RNA", at positions 524 to 776 of the family's 1533-position model. The record is from RNAcentral.
CACGUAGGGGCCAAGCGUUGUCCGGAUUUAUUGGGCGUAAAGAGCUCGUAGGCGGUUCGGUAAGUCGGGUGUGAAAACUCUGGGCUCAACCCAGAGACGCCACCCGAUACUGCUGUGACUGGAGUCCGGUAGGGGAGUGGGGAAUUCCUGGUGUAGCGGUGAAAUGCACAGAUAUCAGGAGGAACACCGGUGGCGAAGGCGCCACUCUGGGCCGGUACUGACGCUGAGGAGCGAAAGUGUGGGGAGCGAACAGG